Molecule: unclassified non-coding RNA, 139 nt
Filed under: soil metagenome
Description: partial internal transcribed spacer 1
Source: RNAcentral
CUGAGUACUACACUCUCUACCCUUUGUGAACUAUUAUACCUGUUGCUUCGGCGGCGCCCGCGAGGGGUGCCCGCCGGUCUCAUCAGAAUCUCUGUUUUCGAACCCGACGAUACUUCUGAGUGUUCUUAGCGAACUGUCA